This 253-nucleotide ribosomal RNA is filed under the name uncultured bacterium. Its description in RNAcentral is "partial 16S ribosomal RNA". It matches the Rfam family "Bacterial small subunit ribosomal RNA", at positions 524 to 776 of the family's 1533-position model. The record is from RNAcentral.
UACGGGGGGGGCAAGCGUUGUUCGGAAUUACUGGGCGUAAAGGGCUCGUAGGCGGCCAACUAAGUCGGAUGUGAAAUCCCCAGGCUUAACCUGGGAACUGCAUCCGAUACUGGAUGGCUUGAAUUCGGGAGAGGAAUGCAGAAUUCCAGGUGUAGCGGUGAAAUGCGUAGAUAUCUGGAGGAAUACCGGUGGCGAAGGCGGCAUCCUGGACCGAGAUUGACGCUGAUGAGCGAAAGCUAGGGGAGCAAACGGG